GUCAAAGAAAGAGCGGGGAGAAAAGACGAAGCGAAAUAAAACGCAACCAACGCCUAAGUACCUGCAUAUGAAGAUAAGCGAUUGUGUUUUAUACGCAAUUCUCACGUUCCUGGACUCAACAUCUUUUAUUUCGCUUCUUGGAAGCCAAUGACGCUAGAGUUCUUGGAGUUUGUAUGAAGACGGGCAGAGACUCGUGGUGCAAGCACUGAAGUAUACUGGACAUUGGAGAAGCGACGGAACCCACAAGGAGACGGUCAUCUCGCUCGUGGGUGGAUAAUAAACAUUGCAGAACACGGAGGCCAACGAGGGUGCGCACGUCAGGCAGCUGAAAAAAGCGCACAUUUAUAUGUAUGUAUGCGAGAUCGUGCACAUACUGCCAUCUCGCUCUAACCAACGAAGUUCUUGCGGGCCAGCAACUAGAGGCUUGAGUGCGCAGUUGGCUGAUGAAAUCGAGUGAAAAUUUCUGGAUUGUGGUUUGUUUGGUAAGUGCCAAUUUGAUUGUUGAUUUGGGGAAAGGUUAGUCUGCGGGUGAUGAUUACCAGAGCAAUGAGCAAAUUAAGGGCAACGGAUGAAAUGGACGAGGACAACGUUGAGAUGGGAAAAGUGGAAAGAGAAACCGCGCAAGGUGAAGCCUCAAAUAUGGAGGGGGCCGGGCCCGGCACCACA
Molecule: long non-coding RNA, 666 nt
Organism: Drosophila miranda
Lineage: Eukaryota; Metazoa; Arthropoda; Insecta; Diptera; Drosophilidae
Exons: 2
Source: RefSeq, a predicted model, not a curated record